Long non-coding RNA from Silurus meridionalis, 1309 nucleotides. RefSeq lists it as uncharacterized. The transcript is spliced from 4 exons. The record is from RefSeq and is a predicted model, not a curated record. Lineage: Eukaryota; Metazoa; Chordata; Actinopteri; Siluriformes; Siluridae.
UACAGGUGUAUAAUUUACCCUGUUACAUUUACAUGUCCUGUUUCAACUCAUACAAAACUGUUGAUUUGUCAUGUUUAUACUCAUAUCUGUGUUUAAAAAUGUAGUUACCUGAUCAAAAUGGGUGCUUCUCUUAAAUGCCUUGAUAAUAGAAGCUGAUGUCACUUCCUGUCCUGAUUCCUCCUCUUCUCUUUCUUUAUUGUAAUCUCAUUGAAGUGGUGGGUUUCUCCUAAAUUUAUGAAAAGUUAAUUUAUUUCGAUAUGAAUUUCUUAUAUAUUAUAUAAUUCUUUUUUUUUUCACGAGACAGAAAUGUAAAUCAGGGUAGUGUAGAAAAAUAUGACGUUGUGGCGCCCCCUAACGGUAGCAGCUGAAAUAAGAAGACUUUUAAAUGUAUUUUUCUCACUCAAAUCUUUGUGAUGUUACUUUAUCUAUCUGUGUGAUUAUUCUACACUUUUUGGGUGUAUAUUUAUGAAUGUGAGAACACAUGGUGAUAAGUCUACCACACAUUUAUUUUUAUAGAGAACAAUAAGUGAAAUAUCACCACAGAGGCUGCUGAUUUGUUCUGUGUUCAUCAGAAAAAACAUUAAAUACUUCCAGUGAACUGCAGUCUGCUGUCCCGUGUACCAGUGGACAGCGAGCGGUCCAACCUGGAGGACAGAGUGAUGGAGUUGGAGGAAUGGCUCAGUGAGACACACAGAGAGUGUGUGAUCAACACCAAGCAGUGUUUUAGGAGUGUGAGCAGGAGUGAGAGACUCACAGUGUCCUGAAGUACCAGUACAAUCAUCUGAGGGAAACUGUAACCUACAGCAAGGAGUCACUACAGGUCUUCUGGAUGAAGCUGAGAAGAAACACGAGCAGGUGCUGGAGUCCAGUGUUCAUCUACAGAAAGAGAUCUACAAACUGGUAUCAGACAUGGACUUACUGUAGCCUCAGCUGAGCUGAAAGAGGAAGAGCUUCUUCAGACUAACAGGAAGUGCAGCAGGUUAAUGGCAGAGUGGGAACAGUACCAGGAUGUUUACUGUACCAUGAAGGUGAAGUACGACGGAAUGAAAGAAUCCGUGAAACAUUUGUAGAUUUUCAUCACAGACUUGUACAGAGCAUGUAGCGCCAUCACUUGGCCUGAAAAGCAGCUCAGUGGUCACGUGGUCGGUUAUGGCGCUCAAUAAGUUCCUGAUGUGGUUUCUGUUUGUAUUUUUUUCCUCAUUUCAUUAAUUCUUUCUUUGCAUGUGAAUGUGAAUGAAAAUAAAUCUCUUGUCACUGUGUGAUGUAAUAUUUUUGCUGGAAAUUGCAAUAAUAAAGUACUUAAAAUGUA